AUGUUGCCUUGAAAGGACAGAAGGUUGCCACUCCCCCUGACAAAGAUGGAAGAGGCCUUUUGGCCUAACAAAGCAAAUAUAAUUGAGGCAUUGCCACCUACUUCGUUACAUCUAACCACUAGUUUAU
This 127-nucleotide non-coding RNA is filed under the name Mus pahari (shrew mouse). The record is from RNAcentral. Lineage: Eukaryota; Metazoa; Chordata; Mammalia; Rodentia; Muridae.